Molecule: long non-coding RNA, 243 nt
Filed under: Gossypium barbadense (sea-island cotton)
Lineage: Eukaryota; Viridiplantae; Streptophyta; Magnoliopsida; Malvales; Malvaceae
Description: long non-coding RNA (GBAR_LNC014982)
Source: RNAcentral
AAGAAGCCAAAUCUAAUUAGGAAAAUAUGGCUAAAUACCUAGGGUUUUGGAAACCCUAGGGGCGGCAUGGCAAUUUAACCAAUUUUGGCCAAAAUAAAAAAUAAAUGAAAAGGGAAGAGUGUGGCUCAAACUUGGGUUAAUGGGAAAGGAAUCUUGCUCUUAACCAUUAGACCUAAGCCUAUAUCUUGUUUAAUUUUACUUCAAAUAGUACUUAUUUUAGUGUGCUUUUUAUCCUAAUUUGCU